RNAcentral lists this non-coding RNA (117 nucleotides) under Homo sapiens (human). The record is from Rfam by way of RNAcentral. Lineage: Eukaryota; Metazoa; Chordata; Mammalia; Primates; Hominidae.
GCCAGGCACGGUGGCUCAUGCCUGUAAUCCCAGCUAUUUGGGAGGCUGAGGUGGGUGGAUCACCUGAGGUCAGGGGUUGGAGACCAGCCUGGCCAACAUGGUGAAACCCCAUCUCUA